UAUUUUCCUUUUUUUCCCUCCGCCGCGGUAAUACGUAUGGUGCAAGCGUUAUCCGGAUUUACUGGGUGUAAAGGGAGCGCAGGCGGAAGGCUAAGUCUGAUGUGAAAGCCCGGGGCUCAACCCCGGUACUGCAUUGGAAACUGGUCAUCUAGAGUGUCGGAGGGGUAAGUGGAAUUCCUAGUGUAGCGGUGAAAUGCGUAGAUAUUAGGAGGAACACCAGUGGCGAAGGCGGCUUACUGGACGAUAACUGACGCUGAGGCUCGAAAGCGUGGGGAGCAAACAGG
RNAcentral lists this ribosomal RNA (284 nucleotides) under Roseburia inulinivorans DSM 16841. RNAcentral's name for it is "partial 16S ribosomal RNA". It matches the Rfam family "Bacterial small subunit ribosomal RNA", at positions 498 to 776 of the family's 1533-position model. The record is from RNAcentral. Lineage: Bacteria; Bacillati; Bacillota; Clostridia; Lachnospirales; Lachnospiraceae.